Molecule: long non-coding RNA, 589 nt
Organism: Larimichthys crocea (large yellow croaker)
Lineage: Eukaryota; Metazoa; Chordata; Actinopteri; Sciaenidae
Exons: 3
Source: RefSeq, a predicted model, not a curated record
GGAAUUUGGGCCGUUGCUUCUCCCUGGAUACCAGGACCUGCAUGUCUUCAAACGUCGGGUGGUUCCCUGCCUCCGCCUGAAAGGCCAUCUGGUACUCUGGCACAGACUCUCCUAGAGGGAAAAGGUCGGUACAUCUCAUGAAGGUCUCCCAGUAGAUCAGGCCCAGGGCGUACAUAUCCACCUGCUUCAGCGCCGACUCACAGUCCCUCAGGUUCACCGCCCCCUCCAGCACCUCUGGAGCCAUGUAGCGGAUAGUCCCCACCUGACAGAUGGAGCAGGAACAACAGGAGGCGUGGGCGACCAGACAAGGGACGCAAAGCGCUCCAAGCCAAACAGACGCACGUGGAGCUGCAGUGUGCAGGACGCAAGAAGGAUCAAGCGCUGCACAGUUAGACAGGAUAGAGGUAGAAAUACACACAUAUACACACACAGAAUAUCUAAACUAGCCUGGCAACAAAGACAAUAAGCUUUCCCAUUUCCCACCACAAUUCUUUGUUUGUGUUUCAGUAACAGAUGGAAGCAGCAGCCUUGGAACUUGAGCCUCAGUAAACUGUGAGCAGUUAUGUAAUUAACUCUGUGUGUGUGUGCG